Meleagris gallopavo (turkey) is the source of this 5044-nucleotide non-coding RNA. NCBI's taxonomy places the organism in Eukaryota, Metazoa, Chordata, Aves, Galliformes, Phasianidae. The record is from RefSeq and is a predicted model, not a curated record.
CAGUGCCUUAACACACUUAUUGUAAAAAUCUUCUUCCUUAUAUCCAAUCUAAAUCUCCCUUCUUCUAGACUGAAACCAUUUCCCACUGUCCUAUCACAACAAACCCUGCUAAAAAGAGUGUUCCCUUCCUUCUUACAGCCCCCCUUUAGAUACUGAAAGGGCGCUCUCAGGUCUUCCUGGAGUCUUCCCUUCUCCAGGCUGAACAGCCCCAGCUCUCUCAGCCUGUCCUCACAGGAGAGGUGUUCCAUCCCUUGCAUCAUUUUUGUGGCUCUCCUCUGGACACACUCCAACAGGUCUGUGUCUCUCCUGUACAGAGGGCUCCACAUCUGUAUACAGUACUCCAGUUGAGAUCUCACCAGUGCAGAGCAGAGGGGCAGGAGCACCUCCCUCGACCUGCUGGCCUCGCUUCUUUUGAUGCAGUCCAGGAUACAGCUGGUUUUCUGGGCUGCCAGGGCACAUUGCUGGCUCAUGUCCAUCUUGCCCUCCAGUAGUAUCCCCAAGUUCCCAGGUGUAUGGCCGUCCUGCACCAAAAGACCCUUGAUUUACCAAAACCCUAGCACCACUUUUGGACAAGUAAAGCCUUAAAAAUUUGAGCUUUAUCCUAAAUUGAAUAGCCUGAAUGAGAAGGAAGCCUAUGAAAUAUAAUCUUCAGAGAAACUAAGCUUGUUUGACCAUCCUUGCUACUAGGUACCAAUCCUACUUAGGAACUCAGGUGUUACAAAUGUGUUUUUUUACUGAACUCAGAAGUGGGAUAUAACAUUAACAUUUGGUGUUUGGUGGGACGUCUUUAAAUUAAAUGAGCUAUAUAUCAGCUGUGAUUCAUACCUCUUUAAUUUUUCCUAGUGGUGAAUUUGGCAAGUCUCUUUAGCUGCCACAGAACCUGGGUGCUGAAAAACUCAUAUCGAGCUGUCGUGUAACUCAUACACGACAGCUCGAGUAGCUCCAGAAUCUCUCCUUGCAAACACAGAAUGCUGGAAAUCACUCGACCAUGGGGGACUCUGUGCCUAGCCAGAAUGCUAUCUACAUCCUGACUCCCAUGGCUCUUCUUCUCCUGUCCUGGCAGGCAACCCGGUGGCAUACUUGUCUUUCUCUCUCCUCACUACCCUCAUUCCAACUAUAUGACAAACGGCCUUUCAGAUACCUGCUCCCUAAAUAACACAUUCAGUGCUAUAUAGUAUAAGUAUAGCAUAUUGUCAAGAGCAUCUUAGAUGCCUAUUUAGGUUAUGGGUCAGAUAUACUGAAUCAAGAGAAAGAGAUACAGCAGUGUUUCAGGCUGAAGGCUUGAUACCAGUUGGCCCUAGCAUGCAUUGAGGCUUGGAAUCCCAAGAGUCAGUCAAAAUAGUCCCUGUAAAACAAACUCCAGAAACGAUGCUAUUCAACAUACAUCAACUAUUUAUAAGGAAGUUUGCUGAUAUUCUUGACAAAGCAAUUUUUUUUUCCCCUGCACAGAAAUUGACAUUGUUAAAUAAUUGAAAAGAAAGCAGCAAAUCACAACGGUGGAUGGUGCUCAGAUGAAAUUUUCAAAAGCAUUUAAGAGUAUUUUCAAAUGGCACUUUACAAUUCCUUACUUUUUUAACAGUACUGUUUAGGCUAUGUGAAAGUUUGUGCCAAUAUAAGCUGUACUGUUUCUUUUACACUGAUCCAGGCAAUUCUGAACUAACUCCAUAAGCAGCUAGUGCCAUGUGUACAUAUUCUCUGCAGCUUUUGUACAUUUCCCCUAAGUCUCUUUUGUCUUGAAAUCUUCCUCAUUUCAGGAUUGUCUAUGUUUAAAAAAAUGUAUUUUCAGACUCCUAACAAUGACAUCUUAAAUAAAAUAACUUCCUGUAAUUCUGAUAGCAGCUACCGUCCUUAUUUCCAUAGCUUUCAUCAUUCAACUCUAAUCCGCUUUCUUUCUUGCUUGUCAUUAUUUGUCUUUGCUUUUAUUCUUUCUGAUCACUAUUGUUAUCCAAUUUCCUUCCUUCUUUCAUCUUUUCCCAACUCCCACUGCAUUUGUGUCCUGUCAUUUUGUAAUUUUGUUUUUACUCCCCAUGUAGCUUUCUAUCAAAUAUACAACUUUGUAACUGACUUUAUCUUCAUCUUUCUACCUUUUUUUCCCUUUUCUUAGUCAUGCUCUGGGGAUCAGACAAAGGCUGACAAUCCUGGCAGUCGAAGACGCUUCUCACACAAAAUCCACAGAGCACAACCACUCAAUCUGCUUCCCCAGUGAAUGGCAGAACAGCCUUUGGCUUCAUCUGUUAUUCAUAUUAGCCUGAAGGUUCUGAGGGACAGCAUGUAUCUCUUACUGUGUAAUAUGUAGUGCUUAGAACACUGGGGGGCUUUGAUCCUAAUUGGGGUAGAAGCUAUUGGAGCAAUAAUAAUAAUCUCAGGGAUCUGGGUCUUGCCUCACCACGAGGCUUUGGCUCACUCAGGUGGUACAAGAAGAGCUCAGAGGAAUACCUCUGCUACAUUAGCUAAUCAAGCAUUUAUUUACUAAUUUACUUAGAUUGCUACCAAAAAAAAAAAAAAAAAAAGAAUGAGAGAGAGAGAAAGAGAUUGAAACCAUCCAUGACUCCAAGAGUCUUUAAUUAGCAGCAAAGAAAUGAUCAGGAGUCAAUGUCUCCACGACUAUUUGAAUAAAAAGGGAAAAAAGAUUUCUUCACAGAAAUAAUUCCAUCUCAAUAAUUAGCCAAAGGUAAGACCCAAUGCAUGACCUCUUGCAAUGUUAGAAGGAAAGGGAAGGAAGAGGAUAGAAGUUACCAAAUAGAUGCUUGAUCAGUUUCUCUCAAAUAAUUUUUGUGCUUGGCUGUAUCUGUCUUGCUCCAUUAAUUUUGUGCUUUAGAUUACUUGGAUACAUCUGACAUGCAGCCAUUUCUGAGAGCAAGGAUUAUACUCAUGCCUGCAAUCUCACAAAACAGAAUAAAUCUUCUGAAUAUAUGAGAAAAUUCCCCUUUCUUCCUUUUCUAUUUUCCAGGAGGAAUGGCCUUCAAAGUUCAGAGGCACGCUCUCGGAUAGUAGUUAAUGUUUACUAUGUCUUAUUUGGGAUUGAAGAAAAUGAAAAAUAGGUCAUUAGCUGUAUGUCAAAAAAAUUCUAUGAUACUGAGUUACUUAACUCCACAUUCUUGCAUAUAGCUGUAUUUGUUUUAGUUGUCAAAUAUGGCCAUACUGAAUGAUUUCUUAUGUGGUUGCAAGAGAAAGUGACCAUGUCUUUCUCUCGAGAAAAACUUGUCCUGACAGAGGUGUCAGGGACAAUCUACUUCACUCAGCUCAGGGUGCCGCUCCUUGUCCCUGAAGCUGUUUGUUCAGCAGACAGACAACUCCAAGAUGUUUCUUGAGAAACUUGAACUCACAGUCUACUAGAUUGGGAACAGACCUAUCUUAGAAUAUUCCCAUUUGGAACAAAAUCCCUCUCACUUUUUCCUGAGUUAUUCUUCAUAAUCACACAAUCAAAAGGUAGGUCAUAUAGGUAAGGUGAGCAAGACCAAGAUUUAGAAAGCAUUACCCAAAUGGAAGGCCAUUGCUGGAUCUUUCAAGUGUUCAAUCCAAACGCACUGGAGCACAGUCUCCUGUAUAUCUGUAAUCACCAGGUACACUUCUUGGUCCUUUUCAGCCUUACUCUUUCUGCAACUCCAUCUCUCUCUAUCUUAAAGGAAAGAGGAGUGAUUGCUUUCAGACAAGUCAGAUUUCAGUAGGUUCACUCUCAGUUUGCUGAAUUGUUACUUCAUGGUCUGUAGAAACUCUAUUUUCCUGCAUAUGAAAACUACCAUGUUUGUCCUCAUCAACACAUUUUUAGGAGUUAUACAAGAAUGAAAUGCCUUUAGAGAUAACUAUGAAUGCAUAUGGUUGUAUGGGUGUAUAAAUGCAUCACCCAAAUCCAAGUAUUCAUUUAAUGCCAGAGCUGAGCAGAGAAAUCCUCAAAACUUACUGCUUGAUCCUGACCCAACAGUGGUUUUGAAGCAUUUGAAAAGUUUCAAGGUGUCAAGCAAAAGAAUUGAUCGACUGAGGAAGCCAGUCAGUCUCCCUCUGCAGUCAACAAAAAGGGAGAAGAUCUCUCCAAGAGCAGUCAUCCUCAUCCCCAAAACAGCUGCCUGGAAUAGCCUUGCAGGCCUCAAUCAAAAAUGACACAAGACAACAGAUGGAUGCAAGUACACAGGGGAAGCAGAAGACAAAAUAUUUAUUCAUUUAGUAAGCAUCAGCCACGUUGCACCAGCUGCUCAGGCUGAAUUCUAAACUAAAUUACCCAGAAUGCUCCCUCCUUUGAAUUACUGUUCACCUCAGUGCUGAAAUUAGCUUGGAAAGACAUUUAUAUGGACAAUCACAUUCCACAUUAAUGCAAUAUAAGAAGUAUAUUAGACUCGAAUUUCAUCCUACGAUUUUUGUGUGUAUGUGUGACUGGAGUAAAUUUUUUAAUUUCUGCCUAUGGAUUAGGCUGUCACUACAGCAUGUCUAAUAGAAUUACAUCCUCUUAUAGUAAGUAGGGCUCAGUCUGGUAUCUUCUCACAAAGAGCACCUUUUGAACUCUGAUCAUCUCCUGGGCUCUGGACAGCCUAAGGUGUCACGCUCAUUGAAAUGGUCAGACUCAACUCCUAAGACUUUUCCAGGCCAUGGUGGACAUCAGCAGAUGCCAUAGCCUUCAGCAAUUGAGUUUGCCUUACCACAGGGGGUCACUAGAAAUCAGUGAGAAAUACUUCCUUCUUCUCUAGGAACUAUGAAAUGCUCACAGCCACUAUGCCAUUCCCUAUUAUUUUCAAGACUUCAGUGAGGGAAAAGCAGAUGUGAUUAUUUUUCUUUAUAACCAGACAGCUCUUACCACUAAAAUAUGUGAGUGGUUUCCUAAAAUUUCAUAGAAGUUUGCUCUUGAUCAAAGCUAGUUUGAGUUCAAAAGCUCGUGAUCAUUUAUUUUUCUAGCAUAACUUUGUAUUUUUCAUUACAUUUGUUAAAGCAAGUUUCAAAUGUGACAUAGACCCUUGAGUUUUAUUAUCGGAGUAGAAUUUUUGUUUCUUCCAAACUACAUUGUACAUCAUAAUUUUUCUUAAAUAAAAAUUAAUACAAUUAAAUAUGAUAAAAU